CUAAAGAGGCGAGAAUCGAACUCGCUACUAAGAAAUCAAAGUUCUUUGUUUUCCCAAUUAAACUACCCNUUA
RNAcentral lists this transfer RNA (72 nucleotides) under Prionocidaris sp. MNHN IE-2007-3764. Its description in RNAcentral is "partial tRNA-Gln". The record is from RNAcentral. Lineage: Eukaryota; Metazoa; Echinodermata; Echinoidea; Cidaroida; Cidaridae.